CCUAGAGCCGCUUGCUGUGCCGGCCAGGGGGACGGCAGCGUUCCUGCUCACCUGAUUUAUUAUCUCUGCUCAGCACACAGGGAAGGGGAUUCUUCACGGGGAGGAAAGCUGGCAGCUCAGAGCAGUCCCCUGGAAGCAGCCAGCGCUUGGUGUGAGCGUUCAUUCAAAGGAGCAGGGAGAGAAAGGAAAAAGCUGUAGUAGGGAAAGAGGAAGGUUAAAAAAAGCAGACACCUCCGAGGCGCUUGUGAAGCGGGAACGCAGCAAGGCAGUCGGUAUUUCUGGUCUGAGGCUGGGACAGAGACCCACGGAGCUGAUGCGAGGGGAGUUUUGCAUAUUCCGAAAAGUAAACAGAAGAGUCAGCCUUGUUUUUUUGCAGAAUUACAGGAACCAGAGAUGGAAAAGACCUAUUAACUCAUCUUUCCGUUCCCCUCCAGGGUAGAACAGGAUUGCUCCCUGGAGGAGAUUAUUUUUAGCACUCUGUUGAGCACAGUUUUUGAUGUCUCAUGAGAUGGGGGUUUCUUUUCCAGGGAUUUAGAUGUAAGAAUGAUAAACCAGGUUCCGCCAAAGGAAGGCUUGACCCAGAGAUGAAACGAGGAUCAAAGCUUUGCUGUGAGGUUCAAAAAUGUUUGCCUGCAUGUUUUCCUCUCUCUGUAACGUGUUUCUGCAUCUCUCUACAGCAUGCUUUGCCUGGGAAGGAAGCAGAGGCAGCGAAGCCCCGGCUCUCCAGGGAUUUUUGCUCCUACAGAAAUGGAGAAACGCGACGAUUUCUCUGGCAGAAGCUUCACACGGGCAUCCUGGGGACGCUCGGUUGGGCCAUUGCGUUGGUGGGGAGAAAAAGAGGAAUGGCACAUCUGCUAGGUGACCGACACGUGUCCCCGGUGCCCUGUAGGCUCAGUAGGAGGUGAACUAAGGACAGAGCAGCUUUCGGAGCCCCCCUCCUGCCCACAGCCCAUGGGUGUCGUGGAGGUAUCAGCAAGCAAGGCAAGCCCAGGGCAUGGGUAGAGCACUGGAUGGGGUUUCAGCCACAAGGGAAGCCUGCUCAAAGCAGAGCUGGUCUGGAACACGGUUAUUAGGUUUGGAGGAUGGAGAGCUCAUUUUACAAGGGUAGACAGAAUUUGCUUGCUUAAUCAAGAAAAACAGCCUGUGGAGGAGAUUAUGCUUGAGAUUAAUAGAUAUACCAGGGACAGAAGCAUGAAGGAAGAUGAAAUUUUGUAAUGCAGAUGUGAAUAAAUGUAGGCUUUACUUCA
Molecule: long non-coding RNA, 1247 nt
Filed under: Anser brachyrhynchus (Pink-footed goose)
Lineage: Eukaryota; Metazoa; Chordata; Aves; Anseriformes; Anatidae
Description: lncRNA (ENSABRG00000007836.1)
Source: RNAcentral